RNAcentral lists this unclassified non-coding RNA (1435 nucleotides) under Leishmania donovani. RNAcentral describes it as "gene:LdHU3.20.2040(CDS-product:hypothetical_prote in_conserved)". The record is from RNAcentral. Lineage: Eukaryota; Euglenozoa; Kinetoplastea; Trypanosomatida; Trypanosomatidae.
UGGCCACAAACCCCUGCUCACAGCUACCACCGCCCCCCUCCUCCUGCUUCGAAAGCAUACUCACAGCACAGCUGCCCAACGCGCCCUUUGCUGCGUCAGCCACCACUGCGUCCCCUCCUUCCACCUUCACUGUCUCUGCAGUGUCUUCUCUCUUUCUCUAAUCCAAAAACGCAAGAGCGCGUUGUACGCAGAGCAGCUUCACCUUUGUGUGGCGGCCGUGUGCAUCUGCGUGUGCCCUACAACGAGAAUGUCCGCGUGGUCGAGCCGCAAUCUGGCCGCGAUGCUCAAGGAGCAGAGGGCCUCUCCCGCCACGGUGGUGGCGCCGGAGGACAAAAAGACGAACGGCGAUGUGCCGAAACGCCCGGCGGUGUCGGUAGAGCCGAAGAAGCCGGAGCUCCCCGCUCCCGCCGCGGCAGGAGUGCUGGCGGCGGUCUCCACACCUACUCCUGAGACUGUGCCGACCCCUGGGCCUGCUUCCGAGCCAGAGGUGAUGUACACCUCCAUAGGCCCUGUGUCGAUGCCGCAGGCCCUCGCAAAGCUGGUCACGCCUUCUGAGUUUCGUUUCGCAGGUUCCGUCGAGGCUCCGAAGCCCGUCGCUACCCUGCAGCCCGCCGUGACCCACCAGCCAGCGGAGGCGGCGCCGAAGCCGGUGGCCAUUGCCCCACCCAUCCCUGUCGCGGCAGCCCCUGCGCCGACCGUCACAUCCUCCUCCGAUCUGCAGCAGCACCAGUGGAAUCUGCCGCAGCCAGUGUACAACCCGCCAGUGAACGACUACAUGCCUCGGUACCAGGGUGCCCUGCCGUACGGCGGCGAGCUCGGCAGCGUGCCGCGCUUCUACAGCACCGAGAGGCAGUACAACGCGCAGCCCUACCAUCCCACCUACCACACCCCAUACUAUCGUAGCGGCUACAGCAGCAGCGCCAUCCAGUACGAUGGGUACAGUGACAUGUACCACAGCCACUACCCUGGUCAGGGUGCCCCGUACAUGGGCAGUCGCCUGCAGGCCCGCCCGCCGUACUACCCGCCUCGUAAUCCCUCGCUGCAGCAGCACCCUGCGGCUCAGUACAACUAAACCUAUAAGCAACGAUAAUGAUGCGAUGCCGGAAUCACAGCGCAGCUCCUCAUCGGCGCGUGUGUGCUCAUGCGCUGCGUAAACGGUCAUCGAAGUGCAGGAUAAUUUUUUUUAUGUGCUUGAGUGAGACGGUGCCUCUAAUGGCUUGCUCUUCGCCCUCCUCCUCCCCCAUUCUUAUUCUCGUCCUCGUCCACCAUCGCAGCUUCUGAAGCCGUCCACUUCGUAGCCCACUCGCUCUCUCGCGCACAAGUAUCACGCAAGCGCCCCUAAUACACUCUUUUCUGUCGGACUCGUGGUAAUCUAACGGGCGCUCUCGUUCGCCUUCCUGUGACACCGUUCGCUGCCCCGCACAGCCGACGCUCU